CAGCAGCCGCGGUAAUACGGAGGGGGCUAGCGUUGUUCGGAAUUACUGGGCGUAAAGCGCACGUAGGCGGCUUUGUAAGUCAGAGGUGAAAGCCCGGGGCUCAACCCCGGAAUUGCCUUUGAGACUGCAUCGCUUGAAUCCAGGAGAGGUGAGUGGAAUUCCGAGUGUAGAGGUGAAAUUCGUAGAUAUUCGGAAGAACACCAGUGGCGAAGGCGGCUCACUGGACUGGUAUUGACGCUGAGGUGCGAAAGCGUGGGGAGCAAACAGGAUUAGAUACCCCGGUAGUCCCUGUCUCUUAUAC
RNAcentral lists this ribosomal RNA (301 nucleotides) under uncultured bacterium. RNAcentral's name for it is "partial 16S ribosomal RNA". It matches the Rfam family "Bacterial small subunit ribosomal RNA", at positions 509 to 807 of the family's 1533-position model. The record is from RNAcentral.